RNAcentral lists this ribosomal RNA (253 nucleotides) under uncultured bacterium. RNAcentral's name for it is "partial 16S ribosomal RNA". It matches the Rfam family "Bacterial small subunit ribosomal RNA", at positions 524 to 776 of the family's 1533-position model. The record is from RNAcentral.
UACAGAGGUCUCAAGCGUUGUUCGGAUUCAUUGGGCGUAAAGGGUGCGUAGGCGGCGCGGUAAGUCGGGUGUGAAAGCCCGGGGCUUAACCCCGGAAGUGCACUCGAAACUGGAAGGCUUGAGUAUGGAAGAGGGUCUCGGAAUUCCCGGUGUAGAGGUGAAAUUCGUAGAUAUCGGGAGGAACACCAGUGGCGAAGGCGGAGACCUGGGCCAAUACUGACGCUGAGGUGCGAAAGCGUGGGGAGCGAUCCGG